This 2269-nucleotide long non-coding RNA is filed under the name Sus scrofa (pig). Its description in RNAcentral is "lncRNA (ENSSSCG00035060927.1)". The record is from RNAcentral. Lineage: Eukaryota; Metazoa; Chordata; Mammalia; Artiodactyla; Suidae.
AUUUACUUCCCUCUACAGCUUCGAGAUAUUCUUCUAAGUUGGUCUUGGUCUACUUUAUUUUUCUUAGUUUUGCGUCUUGUACUUAUCCAAUUUUUUGGCUUCGGACUUUUCUAUCUUCCAAUUACUUGGACCUCUAUCUUGUAUGCUUGUCUCCAACAGCUUGUUUCUCAUUUUCUACCUCAAACACUCGAACAUCUUUUCAACCUUCUCUUUCUAGAUGUCUUCUGCCUCCUACCUUCUGGGCUUAGUUUUUUUCUGUCUUCUAAAAGCCGUAUUUUUUAUCUUCUAGUUUUCCUAUCUUCACUAAUCUUUUCUUCACCUUCCUGUACUUGUCUUCCGAGUUUUCCACUUCAAAUUUCUAAUCUUCUUUCUUCCUUUCUCAUACUAUUUUUUAAGGACGUCUCCAUUUUCCCCUAAAAUAAGACCUUCCUAUUAAUUAUCAGAUCUACUCUCACGAAUUUAACUCAAAACUACAGCUCAGUAUUUUCGCUAAUUUAUAAUUCCUAGAGAAUAAGAGUAAUCCCUAUCUUAACAGAAAAACUUAUCUGCGGUCUCCUCAAGAAGCGUUUCCUGCCUCUCAGCCGUCUCUGCGCUCGCUGCCUCAAUGCCUGCCUCCCGACCCGCAGCGCGCGGCGUAUUUAUAGCCCAAGGACACCUCACACCCCCGUCAUCCAAUAACCCUCCGCCGCCUUUGUGAGGGAAGCAAAAAUAGUUCCUCGGAAGGAGUUAAAAAUAGAAUCUGGUUUAUAAGACUCUAGGUUUUUCCUUAACAGUUUAUAUAACUUGCUCGCAAACUCUGUACCCAGAUGUUUAAGUAGAUUUGAACUGAAAACUUGAGUAAAAACAAUGGAAACCACGUUUAAACAGACCAUCAAACAGCUGACAAAAACUCAGAAUUACUUGGAAAUGUUUUAGUAGCUUUUAAAAUACCUUCUGUGUUUCCUUCGAGUACAGUAGGUACAAUUUAGUGCUUUGGAGGCUAGGAAAGUAAAACUAAGUUUGCUGAUGGCCUUCAUUUCCAUUAUGUAACAGAGCUUCAGCCUCACAAAUAGAGCGGAGCCAUCUUAGAAGGACCGAAGGGUGGGAGUUUCGCCCCCAUGGGCCGCAGGUCCUGAGGAUUAUAUCACACCGUCUUGAUUGCCAUUUUAUUCGUGAGAUCCGAUCAGCCCAGGUGAUCUAUGUAAGAAUUGGACUAAAUGUGGAAAUCCACUUCUGGAAAAUGUCUGACAGCCACUCUUUACCACUGUUGCCUGCAACAGAGCUGGUCACGCAUCGCAAGGGAUUAGGACCAAAAUUGAGGCAUCCAGGUGGGCUUAUCUUAAUUUGAAAAACUUCGUGUUUUUAUUGUUGAUUUAGUAGGUAGGAAACAUCAGCUAGGACACCCCUCCCCCCAUGCUUUUGGUUGUUGCCUUCUUGGGACAUUUUAAAUGAAGCCUGGAUUAACUUUUUCAAACGUGAACCGUGGCUAAGCUUCUAGGCCUGUCUCUCUAAAGUGUUCAAAACCCAAGUCCAAUCAAAACUAACUUUACAUGUCCUCUUUAAAUUAUCUGAAAAGGCCAGGUUUCACCUCCGAAGAUACUGCGACCUUGAGCCGUCAGUGGGGGAGGGAACUUGUUCUCAAAUUAUUUACGAACUUUUACUGCUGGUCUGCUUUUCUAGGUUCUAAUAUUUUUACGUAUUUUGUAUUAUCUCUGGUUUGACUCCCUUUAAGACUUUUAAAAGUGGAGCCGGGAGGAAAAUAAAAUUUUUCUCCAAACCCAAAGCCUCCCUUUCUGCGGUUUUAUUUUUAAAGCACCCCGUGUUUCCCACCUGGGUGGAAAAGCGGAGGGAAGCGCCAGGGCGGAACUGGCUGCUGUGUCUCAAGGACUCUAGGAGAAGCCUCGGUCCCCGGGGCGGCAAAGGGGACCCGAGUGAGGCUUGAGGACUUAGAAAUGACAAUGGCGCCAGGGAGCGUCCCAGAUACCGGCUUCCAAGCGGCUAAAGCGGCUGAGGCGCGAAGAAGAAGCAGGUAAGAGGCCGAGCGGGGUGGGCGCGAGCCCCCGGGGCCGAGGGGGUGGGGGACGGGUUUCCCGGCCCAGCGCUGCCCGCGGCCGCAGAAAAGGGAGAAGCGGUGGGGGAGGGGUGCUACCCGAGCGCCGCGCCCCUUCCCCCCGCCCCCCCCAAGCCUGCCUCGCGCAGGGAUAUGCUGGCCGUGAGCCGCCGCCUCCCUUUGUGAGGCGUAGGCUCGCGGGCGGGCGCCGCCGGUUCUAACCGGUUCCAGCCGGUCCCG